AUAUAUAUAUUGUGUUCCCUUGACCUGAGUGUUGUGAAGAUUGGCUUGGCUUCAUCGCUUCUUUGACCAGGUCUGAACCAGGUUAGUUCCAAAAGUCCGCCAUAAGAUUCGGUCUCAUAAGAACGCGAGACAUUGAGCAUUGAUGGUAAGCAACAUUAUGUAUUAUGCUUUAUGUAUGAAUUAUUUUAAAUAUUUUAUGUACUCAGGGUAAGCAACAUUAUGGUAAGCAGCAUUAUGUAUUAUGCUUGUGACCAGAUAUGGAUUGCUCUUUCAGGAUGUCAUUGGUUGGAAAAUCAGCUUAUAUACAAUAUUAGAAUUUGCUAUUAUGCAGGGCUCACUCUCUCUGUAAAGGUUUUUUUUCUCUCUCUAAAUGCCCAACAGGUCCUCAGUCUCUCUCCAUGUAUUCCAUGCUAUUAUCAUUGUGCAUUUUGGUAAAAGAUCAACACUAUUCUCCUCUAUUUUAACGUGCAAUAGACCAAGACUAUUCUUAUUAUUGUAGGUCGAAAAGAUGCUCCACAGAAGAUGUGGAUAAUUUUUGCCAAAGAUUCAAGAGCCAUUUUUUGUUACACGCUCCUUGAUAUAGUUCAAGAGCUAUUUUUUGGUACACGCUCCAUAGUUGUGGUGAAUGUAGUGAUUGUAAAAUUCAGUAUUGUAAUGGACAUAUGUGUGGUGAAUGUGGUGAUUGUGUUGUAUGGAAAUGGGGCAGUAAAGAGUCAUUUUUUUGGUUAAAUUAAGUUUUGUAAUGGAUAUGUGUGGCGAAUAUGUUCAUUUUGUUGUAUGGAAAUGGGGAUAGCAAAUAAUCAUUUUUUUGGUAAAAUCCAGUAUUGUAAUGGAUUGUUAUCGUGGUCAUUCAUCUUCUAGCUUGGAUUAGUUAA
Molecule: non-coding RNA, 875 nt
Organism: Amborella trichopoda
Lineage: Eukaryota; Viridiplantae; Streptophyta; Magnoliopsida; Amborellales; Amborellaceae
Source: RefSeq, a predicted model, not a curated record